CCGACAGGAGAUCGGAGAAGGGCACUGACGACUUCGACAGAUGACAGAUCAUCGACGGGUUAUACUAUUCAUCUGGACAUCAGAGUUUCUGAGAAUGAGUCGGCCUUGGCCAAUCUGGCAUUGGCCAAGUGACUCAUCGAAGCUGCUCUUCUCCUAGCUGAUUGGGAGAAAAGAAAUAACAGAAUCGUCAUCGAGAUGUUCU
This 202-nucleotide long non-coding RNA is filed under the name Elaeis guineensis (African oil palm). RNAcentral's name for it is "long non-coding RNA (EGUI_LNC019403)". Lineage: Eukaryota; Viridiplantae; Streptophyta; Magnoliopsida; Arecales; Arecaceae. The record is from RNAcentral.